RNAcentral lists this transfer RNA (73 nucleotides) under Fasciola gigantica. The record is from Rfam by way of RNAcentral. Lineage: Eukaryota; Metazoa; Platyhelminthes; Trematoda; Plagiorchiida; Fasciolidae.
GCCGCGAUAGCUCAGCUUAUAGAGCAUCUGCACUAUAUGCGGAGGGUUGCCGGUUCGAUUUCGACUCGCGACG